Molecule: ribosomal RNA, 2814 nt
Filed under: Klebsiella pneumoniae
Lineage: Bacteria; Pseudomonadati; Pseudomonadota; Gammaproteobacteria; Enterobacterales; Enterobacteriaceae
Description: bacterial LSU rRNA
Rfam family: Bacterial large subunit ribosomal RNA
Source: RNAcentral
UUAAGCGACUAAGCGUACACGGUGGAUGCCCUGGCAGUCAGAGGCGAUGAAGGACGUGCUAAUCUGCGAAAAGCGUCGGUAAGGUGAUAUGAACCGUUAUAACCGGCGAUGUCCGAAUGGGGAAACCCAGUGUGAUUCGUCACACUAUCGUUAACUGAAUACAUAGGUUAACGAGGCGAACCGGGGGAACUGAAACAUCUAAGUACCCCGAGGAAAAGAAAUCAACCGAGAUUCCCCCAGUAGCGGCGAGCGAACGGGGAGCAGCCCAGAGUCUGAAUCAGCUUGUGUGUUAGUGGAACGGUCUGGAAAGUCCGACGGUACAGGGUGAUAGUCCCGUACACCAAAAUGCACAGGUUGUGAACUCGAAGAGUAGGGCGGGACACGUGGUAUCCUGUCUGAAUAUGGGGGGACCAUCCUCCAAGGCUAAAUACUCCUGACUGACCGAUAGUGAACCAGUACCGUGAGGGAAAGGCGAAAAGAACCCCGGCGAGGGGAGUGAAAAAGAACCUGAAACCGUGUACGUACAAGCAGUGGGAGCACCUUCGGGUGUGACUGCGUACCUUUUGUAUAAUGGGUCAGCGACUUAUAUUCUGUAGCAAGGUUAACCGUAUAGGGGAGCCGCAGGGAAACCGAGUCUUAACUGGGCGUUAAGUUGCAGGGUAUAGACCCGAAACCCGGUGAUCUAGCCAUGGGCAGGUUGAAGGUUGGGUAACACUAACUGGAGGACCGAACCGACUAAUGUUGAAAAAUUAGCGGAUGACUUGUGGCUGGGGGUGAAAGGCCAAUCAAACCGGGAGAUAGCUGGUUCUCCCCGAAAGCUAUUUAGGUAGCGCCUCGUGAAUUCAUCUUCGGGGGUAGAGCACUGUUUCGGCUAGGGGGUCAUCCCGACUUACCAACCCGAUGCAAACUACGAAUACCGAAGAAUGUUAUCACGGGAGACACACGGCGGGUGCUAACGUCCGUCGUGAAGAGGGAAACAACCCAGACCGCCAGCUAAGGUCCCAAAGUCAUGGUUAAGUGGGAAACGAUGUGGGAAGGCACAGACAGCCAGGAUGUUGGCUUAGAAGCAGCCAUCAUUUAAAGAAAGCGUAAUAGCUCACUGGUCGAGUCGGCCUGCGCGGAAGAUGUAACGGGGCUAAACCAUGCACCGAAGCUGCGGCAGCGACACUAUGUGUUGUUGGGUAGGGGAGCGUUCUGUAAGCCUGCGAAGGUGACCUGUGAGGGUUGCUGGAGGUAUCAGAAGUGCGAAUGCUGACAUAAGUAACGAUAAAGCGGGUGAAAAGCCCGCUCGCCGGAAGACCAAGGGUUCCUGUCCAACGUUAAUCGGGGCAGGGUGAGUCGACCCCUAAGGCGAGGCCGAAAGGCGUAGUCGAUGGGAAACAGGUUAAUAUUCCUGUACUUGGUGUUACUGCGAAGGGGGGACGGAGAAGGCUAUGUUAGCCGGGCGACGGUUGUCCCGGUUUAAGCAUGUAGGCUGGUUAUCCAGGCAAAUCCGGAUAAUCAAGGCUGAGGUGUGAUGACGAGGCACUACGGUGCUGAAGUAACAAAUGCCCUGCUUCCAGGAAAAGCCUCUAAGCAUCAGGUAACAUCAAAUCGUACCCCAAACCGACACAGGUGGUCAGGUAGAGAAUACCAAGGCGCUUGAGAGAACUCGGGUGAAGGAACUAGGCAAAAUGGUGCCGUAACUUCGGGAGAAGGCACGCUGGUGUGUAGGUGAAGUCCCUGCGGAUGGAGCUGAGACCAGUCGAAGAUACCAGCUGGCUGCAACUGUUUAUUAAAAACACAGCACUGUGCAAACACGAAAGUGGACGUAUACGGUGUGACGCCUGCCCGGUGCCGGAAGGUUAAUUGAUGGGGUUAUCCGUAAGGAGAAGCUCUUGAUCGAAGCCCCGGUAAACGGCGGCCGUAACUAUAACGGUCCUAAGGUAGCGAAAUUCCUUGUCGGGUAAGUUCCGACCUGCACGAAUGGCGUAAUGAUGGCCAGGCUGUCUCCACCCGAGACUCAGUGAAAUUGAACUCGCUGUGAAGAUGCAGUGUACCCGCGGCAAGACGGAAAGACCCCGUGAACCUUUACUAUAGCUUGACACUGAACAUUGAGCCUUGAUGUGUAGGAUAGGUGGGAGGCUUUGAAGCGUGGACGCCAGUCUGCGUGGAGCCAACCUUGAAAUACCACCCUUUAAUGUUUGAUGUUCUAACGUUGGCCCCUUACCGGGGUUGCGGACAGUGUCUGGUGGGUAGUUUGACUGGGGCGGUCUCCUCCCAAAGCGUAACGGAGGAGCACGAAGGUUAGCUAAUCCUGGUCGGACAUCAGGAGGUUAGUGCAAUGGCAUAAGCUAGCUUGACUGCGAGCGUGACGGCGCGAGCAGGUGCGAAAGCAGGUCAUAGUGAUCCGGUGGUUCUGAAUGGAAGGGCCAUCGCUCAACGGAUAAAAGGUACUCCGGGGAUAACAGGCUGAUACCGCCCAAGAGUUCAUAUCGACGGCGGUGUUUGGCACCUCGAUGUCGGCUCAUCACAUCCUGGGGCUGAAGUAGGUCCCAAGGGUAUGGCUGUUCGCCAUUUAAAGUGGUACGCGAGCUGGGUUUAGAACGUCGUGAGACAGUUCGGUCCCUAUCUGCCGUGGGCGCUGGAGAAUUGAGGGGGGCUGCUCCUAGUACGAGAGGACCGGAGUGGACGCAUCACUGGUGUUCGGGUUGUCAUGCCAAUGGCACUGCCCGGUAGCUAAAUGCGGAAGAGAUAAGUGCUGAAAGCAUCUAAGCACGAAACUUGCCCCGAGAUGAGUUCUCCCUGAGACUUUAAGUCUCCUGAAGGAACGUU